This 143-nucleotide long non-coding RNA is filed under the name Numida meleagris (helmeted guineafowl). Its description in RNAcentral is "Non-coding RNA BC040587 (ENSNMEG00000017047.1)". It matches the Rfam family "Non-coding RNA BC040587". From Rfam's summary of the family: Deletion of this gene is associated with poor survival of osteosarcoma patients. The record is from RNAcentral. Lineage: Eukaryota; Metazoa; Chordata; Aves; Galliformes; Numididae.
GCCUGGCCCCUCCUGCUGUGAGGUCAUAGCUCUGGUUUUGUGACACAGCUGUCUGUUGCCAUGCGAGUGUUUGUGCUUCACAAAGUCAGCGUGCGAUGACUUCACAGCAAGGUCAUGGAGGAGCAGAUGGGCUUUGAAGGAGG